RNAcentral lists this ribosomal RNA (570 nucleotides) under Gastrophryne olivacea (western narrow-mouthed toad). RNAcentral's name for it is "partial 16S ribosomal RNA". It matches the Rfam family "Bacterial large subunit ribosomal RNA", at positions 1811 to 2608 of the family's 2925-position model. The record is from RNAcentral. Lineage: Eukaryota; Metazoa; Chordata; Amphibia; Anura; Microhylidae.
AAACAUCGCCUCCUGCAGUAUAUAGGAGGUCCAGCCUGCCCAGUGACCAAGUUAAACGGCCGCGGUACCCUAACCGUGCGAAGGUAGCGCAAUCACUUGUUCUUUAAAUGAGGACUAGUAUGAAUGGCAUCACGAGGGUUACACUGUCUCCCACCUCUAAUCAGUGAAACUGAUCUCCCCGUGAAGAAGCGGGGAUAAAACUAUAAGACGAGAAGACCCCAUGGAGCUUCAAACCCGGCAUCAACCAUUAACAUUAAUACCACAUUAAAUAAAUGGACCUGACUGCUGGUUUUAGGUUGGGGUGACCGCGGAGCAUAACAAAACCUCCAUGAUGAACGACCUCCUCUCUAAUCCGAGAGCCACCACUCAAAGAAUCAAAAAAUUGACAUUUAUUGACCCAAACUAUUUUGAUCAACGAACCAAGUUACCCUGGGGAUAACAGCGCAAUCCAUUUCAAGAGCCCCUAUCGACAAAUGGGUUUACGACCUCGAUGUUGGAUCAGGGUAUCCUAGUGGUGCAGCCGCUACUAAAGGUUCGUUUGUUCAACGAUUAAAACCCUACGUGAUCUGU